This 77-nucleotide transfer RNA is filed under the name Patescibacteria group bacterium. RNAcentral describes it as "tRNA-Pro". It matches the Rfam family "tRNA". Rfam says of the family: Transfer RNA (tRNA) molecules are approximately 80 nucleotides in length. Their secondary structure includes four short double-helical elements and three loops (D, anti-codon, and T loops). Further hydrogen bonds mediate the characteristic L-shaped molecular structure. tRNAs have two regions of fundamental functional importance: the anti-codon, which is responsible for specific mRNA codon recognition, and the 3' end, to which the tRNAs corresponding amino acid is attached (by aminoacyl-tRNA synthetases). tRNAs cope with the degeneracy of the genetic code in two manners: having more than one tRNA (with a specific anti-codon) for a particular amino acid; and 'wobble' base-pairing, i.e. permitting non-standard base-pairing at the 3rd anti-codon position. The record is from RNAcentral. RNAcentral also lists the same sequence under 3 other names.
CGGGCCGUGGCGCAGUUGGCUAGCGCGCCUGCUUUGGGAGCAGGAGGUCGUGGGUUCAAGUCCCACCGGCCCGACCA